Molecule: ribosomal RNA, 483 nt
Filed under: uncultured Anaerolineaceae bacterium
Lineage: Bacteria; Bacillati; Chloroflexota; Anaerolineae; Anaerolineales; Anaerolineaceae
Description: bacterial SSU rRNA
Rfam family: Bacterial small subunit ribosomal RNA
Source: RNAcentral
AAACUUAAAGGAAGUUGACGGGGCCGCACAAGCGGUGGAGCAUGUGGUUUAAUUCGAUGCAACGCGAAGAACCUUACCUGGGCUUGACAUCCACGGAACCUGCUGGAAACAGUGGGUGCCUUUCGGGAGCCGUGAGACAGGUGCUGCAUGGCUGUCGUCAGCUCGUGUCGUGAGAUGUUGGGUUAAGUCCCGCAACGAGCGCAACCCUUGUCUUUAAUUGCCAUCAUUCAGUUGGGCACUUUAAAGAGACUGUCGGUGUUAAACCGGAGGAAGGUGGGGAUGACGUCAAGUCCUCAUGGCCCUUAUAGGUGGGGCUACACACGUCAUACAAUGGAUGGUACAAAGGGUCGCCAACCCGCGAGGGGGAGCCAAUCCCAUAAAGCCAUUCGUAGUCCGGAUCGCAGUCUGCAACUCGACUGCGUGAAGUCGGAAUCGCUAGUAAUCGUGGAUCAGAAUGUCACGGUGAAUACGUUCCCGGGUCUU